Non-coding RNA from Meleagris gallopavo (turkey), 476 nucleotides. Lineage: Eukaryota; Metazoa; Chordata; Aves; Galliformes; Phasianidae. The record is from RefSeq and is a predicted model, not a curated record.
AGUGAUGGAGCUCAGCCCUACAAACUGCUGUCCUACAAAGAAGGUGCUGGCACCAGACCUGCUGAUUGCAGUGGCCCUUUCCACACAGACCUGGGGACACAGGGAGCCCCACACAGCCAUGGAAAUGGCUGACAGAGCAGCAACCCGGUGAGCAGGGCUGUGCAGGAGGGGGUAGCUCAGGGAAGCAGGGCAGGAGGCUGCUCCUUCCUUCCUUCCCCUCUGCCUUGUAGAUGGACAGCCCAACACAAAUGGCUCCAGAUGCCCAAAAGUGAUGGAGCUCAGCCCUACAAACUGCUGUCCUACAAAGAAGGUGCUGGCACCAGACCUGCUGAUUGCAGUGGUUCUUUCCACACAGACCUGGGGACACAGGGAGCCCCACACAGCCAUGGAAAUGGUUGGCAGAGCAGCAACCCGGUGAGCAGGGCUGUGCAGGGGAGAGCAGCUCAGGGCAGGAGGGCAGGAGGCUGCUCCUUCCU